This 482-nucleotide ribosomal RNA is filed under the name uncultured bacterium. RNAcentral's name for it is "partial 16S ribosomal RNA". It matches the Rfam family "Bacterial small subunit ribosomal RNA", at positions 28 to 507 of the family's 1533-position model. The record is from RNAcentral.
GAUGAACGCUAGCGGCAGGCCUAAUACAUGCAAGUCGGACGGGAUUCAGGAGCUUGCUUCUGAUGAGAGUGGCGCACGGGUGCGUAACACGUAUGUAACCUACCUUUAUCAGGGGGAUAGCCUCUCGAAAGAGAGAUUAAGCCCGCAUAAAAUCACAGCACAGCAUUGUGUAAUGAUCAAAUAUUUAUAGGAUAAAGAUGGGCAUGCGGAACAUUAGCUAGAUGGCGGGGUAACGGCCCACCAUGGCGACGAUGUUUAGGGGAUCUGAGAGGAUGGCCCCCCACACUGGUACUGAGACACGGACCAGACGCAUACGGGAGGCAGCAGUAAGGAAUAUUGGUCAAUGGGCGGAAGCCUGAACCAGCCAUGCCGCGUGCAGGAAGACGGCCCUACGGGUUGUAAACUGCUUUUAUACGGGAAUAAACCCAGAUACGUGUAUCUGGCUGAAUGUACUGUAAGAAUAAGGAUCGGCUAACUCCGUG